Long non-coding RNA from Vigna angularis (adzuki bean), 428 nucleotides. RefSeq lists it as uncharacterized. The record is from RefSeq and is a predicted model, not a curated record. NCBI's taxonomy places the organism in Eukaryota, Viridiplantae, Streptophyta, Magnoliopsida, Fabales, Fabaceae. The transcript is spliced from 2 exons.
AUUAAACAAGAACAUACCCACUCGCAUCAGUAAAGUGGAAAUCUUUCAUCUGAUUAAUUACAUCUUUGUCACUCUGAAAUUCCUCUGCAACACUUUCUGGUCCAUGAGUCAACAGGUGCUCCACCACAAUCAGAGAAUUAUGGCAAGCAUCAAUACCAAUAACUUGAAGAAGAAAAAGCAGGCAGAAAAACCUUUUGUGCAGAAUCUCUACAAUCCUCCAAUAAUCAUCAAGCUCAAAAGCAGCCCUUGAAAUUGAUCUGAGUGUUGGAGAAUCUGGGGCCCAUGGAUUUCCUUUGGUAACUUCUUCUGUCAUGCUACAAAUAGUAUAGGACCACAAAAGCUAUGUAUUAGAGAUGGUUUCUUUGGCUGUGAAACACAUAAAAUGUCAAAUCUUAUAGUUGAAUCAUGAAAAGAGAAGCUUACAGUUC